This is a non-coding RNA of Halomonas sp., 440 nucleotides long. Lineage: Bacteria; Pseudomonadati; Pseudomonadota; Gammaproteobacteria; Oceanospirillales; Halomonadaceae. The record is from Rfam.
GUAAGAUAGAAGCGCAGACUGUAUGCAGUUGGUUAGCAAGUCGAACGUUGUCAGCAGUAUCGAAGCAUUUUAGCGUUGAGCCUGGUGAAAGUUUCUUGUUCUACCCUCUGUAACUCGGGUAUUUCCCCGGCUUUAAUUUCGCUAAAUCGAGGACUUCGAUCAUGGCAACUGGUACCGUAAAGUGGUUUAACGACACUAAAGGCUUCGGCUUUAUUUCUCCUGAAGUUAGCGGCGACGAUUUGUUUGCACACUUCUCUGAAAUUCAAGCAGAUGGCUUUAAAUCCCUGCAAGACGGUCAGAAGGUUUCUUUUGACGUUACCCAGGGCCAAAAAGGCCUUCAAGCUUCUAAUAUCAAGGUUAUGGAAUAAACUCCAUAUUGUGAUAUUAGCUACCGACUAGAUCGGUAAGCUUAAAACCCCGCCAAGAGCGGGGUUUUUGCG